UACGUAGGGGGCAAGCGUUAUCCGGAAUUAUUGGGCGUAAAGAGUACGUAGGUGGCAACCUAAGCGCAGGGUUUAAGGCAAUGGCUCAACCAUUGUUCGCCCUGCGAACUGGGAUGCUUGAGUGCAGGAGAGGAAAGCGGAAUUCCUAGUGUAGCGGUGAAAUGCGUAGAUAUUAGGAGGAACACCAGUGGCGAAGGCGGCUUUCUGGACUGUAACUGACACUGAGGUACGAAAGCGUGGGGAGCAAACAGG
This 252-nucleotide ribosomal RNA is filed under the name uncultured bacterium. RNAcentral's name for it is "partial 16S ribosomal RNA". It matches the Rfam family "Bacterial small subunit ribosomal RNA", at positions 524 to 776 of the family's 1533-position model. The record is from RNAcentral.